Molecule: ribosomal RNA, 253 nt
Filed under: uncultured bacterium
Lineage: Bacteria
Description: partial 16S ribosomal RNA
Rfam family: Bacterial small subunit ribosomal RNA
Source: RNAcentral
UACGAAGGGUGCAAGCGUUACUCGGAAUUACUGGGCGUAAAGCGUGCGUAGGUGGUUUGUUAAGUCUGUUGUGAAAUCCCCGGGCUCAACCUGGGAAUGGCAUUUGGGACUGCAAGGCUUGAGUGCGGCAGAGGAGACUGGAAUUCCUGGUGUAGCAGUGAAAUGCGUAGAUAUCAGGAGGAAUACCGAUGGCGAAGGCAGGUCUCUGGGCUGACACUGACGCUCAUGCACGAAAGCGUGGGGAGCAAACAGG